CCGGAUUGGAGUCUGCAACUCGACUCCAUGAAGUCGGAAUCGCUAGUAAUCGUGGAUCAGAAUGCCACGGUGAAUACGUUCCCGGGCCUUGUACACACCGCCCGUCACACCAUGGGAGUGGGCUGCACCAGAAGUAGAUAGCUUAACCUUUCGGGGAGGGCGUUUACCACGGUGUGGUUCAUGACUGGGGUGAAGUCGUAACAAGGUAGCGCUAGGGGAACCUGGCGCUGGAUCACCUCCUUAUACGAUGAU
RNAcentral lists this ribosomal RNA (252 nucleotides) under Vibrio navarrensis. RNAcentral describes it as "partial 16S ribosomal RNA". It matches the Rfam family "Bacterial small subunit ribosomal RNA", at positions 1293 to 1533 of the family's 1533-position model. RNAcentral also lists the same sequence under 1 other name. The record is from RNAcentral. Lineage: Bacteria; Pseudomonadati; Pseudomonadota; Gammaproteobacteria; Vibrionales; Vibrionaceae.